Salvia hispanica is the source of this 552-nucleotide non-coding RNA. The record is from RefSeq and is a predicted model, not a curated record. NCBI's taxonomy places the organism in Eukaryota, Viridiplantae, Streptophyta, Magnoliopsida, Lamiales, Lamiaceae.
AUAUACUAGUACUUUCUAAUUAGCGGUGCUAAAAGUUUUAGAAUUGUUGUUAAAUUAAGUUAGUAGCUGUAUGAUUUAAAUUGAAAUUUUUCCAUAACAAAAUUGUUCUGCCCAGCCCCUUUGCCGCUUCAAAAUAGCUCGAAAUAUAAGAAACAUGGCGAGCAGAGAAUCCAUCUCAAAAUAGCUCCAGCUUACUGACAACGCCGUCGUCUUACUCUUCUUCUGCAAAAGCGUGGCGGCAAAUCGGCACAGAUUGAAUCGGAUUGAUGCAACAGGGUGAUCCGUGCUGAUCUUGAGCUGGGCCGCUAAAUUUUUGCAUCGGUAUUUUAGCAAAUGUGGAAGAGAAGAACAUGGAAAUGAUGGCAAUGGGAUGGAGUGACUUUAUGGUCAAAGGAACACACAUGUUGGAGGCAGCUUUGGGCUGUAUGAUACAAUUAUUUAUACCUCAAUUCAUUAGUGCUGCUGCUGCUCCUGCUCUAACUAAAUAACUGCUUUUCACUUUGAAUAUUCAAUUAUGCUGCUUUGCUAAUUUCAAUUUUUUCUCCCAUCUUU